Molecule: long non-coding RNA, 1305 nt
Filed under: Sorghum bicolor (sorghum)
Lineage: Eukaryota; Viridiplantae; Streptophyta; Magnoliopsida; Poales; Poaceae
Description: long non-coding RNA (SBIC_LNC004693)
Source: RNAcentral
GAUUUUAGGGCACCAAACGGCUUGAGAUGGAAACGGGAUCAAGGAUGAGCAUCCCAUCUUCUUAUAAGGACGCCUUACGCACGUUGAAAGUGGUGAAUCCCGUGCAAAUCGGGAUUUGGUGCCAUCGGAGUUGAGUCCGGCUCAAGAACGGCAGGUGGAAGACGGCUACUCAGUGGGCCCCACAUGUCGGUCACUAAGCACGUGGGGCCGAGCUGUCAGCAUGAGAAGAGAGGGGGGAAAGGCGUGCCCUAUCUGGGCCGGCUGCUAGCUGGGCCGCGGUGUGGAGAGGGAGCCCAGGCGCGCGCUGCCGGUCUGCGGGGUGGGAAGGGGAGCUGGGCCUCUGGUUGCUGGGCCAACAGGCCGAGAGGGGAAGGGGUUGGGCUGCGGGGAGAGGGAGGGGUUUUGUCUUUUCUUUUGUUCCUUUUCUUCUUCUUUUUGUUUUUUUUUCAAAGCCAUUUCAAAACAAGUUUGAAAAUCAUUUUUAAAACAGUUUGACUUACCUUGAACUUUAAUUAAGUCCACACAAUUCAAUAAAACAAAUGCCCCAAAAAUGAAUGCACAAUCAUAUUGCUAAAUCCUAUAAUAAAUUUUAUUUUAAUGAAAAAUAUUAUUUUUCCUACAUUUCAUGAGCACCAAAAUACAAAAUUAAAUCAUUUUUCAUCUAUUUCAAAAGAAGUAAAUUUUAGGGUGUUACAAUUCUACCCCCCUUAAGAUGAAUCUCGUCCUCGAGAUUCGGAAGAUGGUGAUCAAAGAGAUGUAGAUACUCCGCUUUUGAACCUUGUGCACUUCCUUGAGUAGCUCUUUCUUAGUAACCAUUCUAUGGCCUUUGUCACUCUGAACAUCUCCAUCAAUGGUUCCCAAGAGUUUAGCAAUGUAAUUCGUAUAGAUAAGGUUUUUCUUUUUACUCAUAGCUUAUCUGGGGUAUAUGUUCCUUGCCCAUCCAUUUAAAACCUGAUGCAUUUCCAACCAUGAUAUACUCAACUUUCUCCUUAUUCCAAAGUGAGCCCUAAUAAUUACAAAAUUUGUAGUGUUAGUAAUAUCACUCAACCUCCGCACACAAAUCCUCAAAUCUAGGUGUUGUCCAAACUUUUCCUAGCGCACUCUUUACGCUAAGAGCUUUGGCAUCGACAUAUACUUCUCCAUAAUUCCACCACUAGAGACAACAUAUUCAAUUAGAGAACUUAGUUCGCUCAAAACUUACUAGCCAUGUAUGGUGAAAUAAUAAGGUUUCAUAACUCUCUGAAGAAUCAUCCGUAGAUGUUCGAUAUCCCUUUCCAAUAUCAUUAAUGUCAACUUGUCUUGGGU